UGGGGAAUUUUGCGCAAUGGGGGAAACCCUGACGCAGCAACGCCGCGUGCGGGAUGAAGGCCUUCGGGUUGUAAACCGCUUUCAGCAGGGAAGAAAUUGACGGUACCUGCAGAAGAAGCUCCGGCUAAAUACGUGCCAGCAGCCGCGGUAAUACGUAUGGAGCGAGCGUUAUCCGGAUUUAUUGGGCGUAAAGCGCGCGUAGGCGGCUUGCCAAGCGGGAUCUCAAAACUGAGGGCUCAACCCCCAGCCGGAUCCCGAACUGGCAGGCUCGAGUUCGGUAGAGGAAGAUGGAAUUCCCAGUGUAGCGGUGAAAUGCGCAGAUAUUGGGAAGAACACCGAUGGCGAAGGCAGUCUUCUGGGCCGUAACUGACGCUGAGGUGCGAAAGCUAGGGGAGCGAACAG
RNAcentral lists this ribosomal RNA (402 nucleotides) under uncultured bacterium. RNAcentral describes it as "bacterial SSU rRNA". It matches the Rfam family "Bacterial small subunit ribosomal RNA", at positions 355 to 775 of the family's 1533-position model. The record is from RNAcentral.